Molecule: RNA transcript, 3523 nt
Organism: Myotis lucifugus (little brown bat)
Lineage: Eukaryota; Metazoa; Chordata; Mammalia; Chiroptera; Vespertilionidae
Gene: TARDBP
Gene name: TAR DNA binding protein
Exons: 8
Source: RefSeq, a predicted model, not a curated record
AAGCAGUCGCUGGGGUGCUCCUGGAUCCCCGGCGGUUGACUCUCCCUGUCGGGCCUCCUGUCAGCGGCCUAGCGGAAAAACGGAAGAUGUCGGAAUAUAUCCGGGUAACGGAAGACGAGAAUGACGAGCCCAUUGAAAUUCCAUCGGAAGACGACGGGACGGUGCUGCUGUCCACGGUCACGGCCCAGUUUCCCGGGGCCUGCGGGCUGCGCUACCGGAACCCCGUGUCGCAGUGCAUGCGCGGGGUCCGGCUGGUGGAGGGCAUUCUGCACGCCCCGGACGCCGGCUGGGGCAACCUGGUGUAUGUGGUCAACUACCCCAAAGAUAACAAAAGGAAGAUGGAUGAAACAGAUGCUUCAUCAGCAGUGAAAGUGAAAAGAGCCGUCCAGAAAACAUCUGAUUUAAUAGUGUUGGGUCUCCCGUGGAAGACAACUGAGCAGGAUCUAAAAGAAUAUUUUAGUACCUUUGGAGAAGUUCUUAUGGUUCAGGUCAAGAAAGAUAUUAAAACUGGUCAUUCAAAAGGGUUUGGGUUUGUUCGAUUUACGGAAUAUGAAACGCAGGUGAAAGUAAUGUCACAGAGACAUAUGAUAGAUGGACGAUGGUGUGACUGUAAACUUCCUAAUUCUAAGCAAAGCCCAGAUGAGCCUCUGCGAAGCAGGAAGGUGUUUGUUGGGCGCUGUACAGAGGACAUGACGGCUGAUGAGCUGCGGCAGUUCUUCUGCCAGUACGGAGAAGUGGUAGAUGUCUUCAUUCCCAAACCAUUCAGGGCUUUUGCCUUUGUUACAUUUGCAGAUGAUCAGGUUGCCCAGUCUCUUUGUGGAGAGGACUUGAUCAUUAAAGGAAUCAGCGUACAUAUAUCCAAUGCUGAACCUAAGCACAAUAGCAAUAGACAGUUAGAAAGAAGUGGAAGAUUUGGUGGUAAUCCAGGUGGCUUUGGGAAUCAGGGUGGAUUUGGUAACAGUAGAGGGGGCGGAGCUGGCUUGGGAAAUAAUCAAGGUAGUAACAUGGGUGGAGGGAUGAACUUUGGUGCUUUUAGCAUUAAUCCAGCGAUGAUGGCUGCAGCCCAGGCAGCGCUGCAGAGCAGCUGGGGUAUGAUGGGCAUGUUAGCCAGUCAGCAGAACCAGUCGGGCCCAUCAGGUAAUAACCAAAGCCAGGGCAACAUGCAGAGGGAGCCAAAUCAGGCCUUUGGGUCUGGAAAUAACUCUUACAGUGGUUCUAAUUCAGGGGCAGCCAUUGGUUGGGGAUCAGCUUCAAAUCCAGGGUCAGGCAGUGGUUUUAAUGGAGGCUUUGGCUCAAGCAUGGAUUCAAAACCUUCUAGCUGGGGAAUGUAGACAGUGGAUGACGGUUGGUUGUAUAGACUGGUGGGAAUUCAAAUUUUUCUAAUCUCAUGGUAAGUAUAUUGUAAAAUACAUAUGUACUAAGAAUUUUCAAAAUUGGUUUGUUCAGUGUGGAGUAUAUUCAGCAGUAUUUUUGACAUUUUCUUUAGAAAAAGAGGAAGAAUUAAAGGAAUUUUAUAAGUUUUGUUACAUAAAGGGUUGAAAUACUGAGUGUUUGAAAGUGAACUGCUGUUUGCCUGAUUGGUAAACCAACACACUACAAUUGAUAUCAAAAGGUUUCUCUUGUAAUAAUUUAUCCCUGGACUCGUCAAGUGAAUUCUUUGCAUGUUCAAAAUGGAAACCAUUAAUUAGAACUACAUUCUUUUCUUUUAAUUUGAACCCCACCAUAUGGAUUUUUUCCUUAGGAAUAUCUCCUUUUUGGAGAUCAUGGUGUCACAGUGUUUGGUUCUUUUGUUUUUGUUUUUUAACACUUGUCUCCGUUCAUAUGCAAAAGUACAAUAUGAAGCCUUCAUUUAAUCUCUGCAGUUCAUCUCAUUUCAAAUGUUUAUGGAAGAAGCACUUCAUUGAAAGUAGUGCUGUAAAUAUUCUGCCAUAGGAAUACUUCUGUCUACAUGCUUUCUCAUUCAAGAUUUCGUCAUCACACUGCACAGGCUGCGUCUUUGACGGUGGGUGUCCCAUUUUUAUCCGCUACUCUUUAUUUCAUGGAGUCGUAUCAACGCUAUGAACGCAAGGCUGUGAUAUGGAACCAGAAGGCUGUUUGAACUUUUGAAACCUUGUGUGGGAUUGAUGGUGGUGCCGAGGCAUGAAAGGCUAGUAUGAGCGAGAAAAGGAGAGAGCGCGUGCAGAGACGGUGGUGCAAAAUGGAUAUUUUUUAACUUGGCGAGAUGUGUCUCUCCAUCCUGUGGCUUUGGUGAGAGAGUGUGCAGAGAGCAAUGAUAGCAAAUAACGUACGAAUGUUUCUUGCAUUCAAAGGACAUCCACAUCUGUUGGAAGACUUUAACACUUGCACUAUUACUCAGCAGCAGUAACAUGGUAACACUUAAAAUGGUACUCGGGGACCUCCAAAGACUAAACUGACAAGCCUUCAAGGAGCCCAGGGUUUCUUUUCAGAUGGUGAGGGCUUGGUUCCAAGCAGCACCCACCCCCAGCUUGGAGCAACGUGCUUACCAUCACCUCCUGCCAUGGUGUAGAAGAUCUCAUUGCAGCGGUACUGAAUCACAGCUUUGUACGUCGUCACCUCAGAACCCGAGAGGUACUCCACACGGCCGUUGGGCAGGUCAUCAGGAGGGCCACACUCAACAACUAAUGAACAGGGGAGAGGGAGGAGUCAGUUUCUGCGUUUAAUUCUAACAUUAGAAAGAUGUGGAGUCCGGUAGACAGUGAGCCCUGUGGUGCUGGGUUGGGGUGCAGUCCCUGCGGGGGUGGCGUGAGGCCUUUCCUCAAGGAAGGGGAUCUGAAACCACACGACUUCCUCGACGCUCUCCCUUCUGACAGGAAGGUCUGCAGCCACAGGAGGGAGGAGGCGGCACAGCCUGCACUGUCUAGCUCCCCCAAAAGGGCACUCAAACGACAAUGCAAAGCUGACUCUGAAGGGCGCAGUUUGUUCUUAGGAUCCCUUUCCUAAUUGACCCUAUUGUUAGAGAAAGGGAUCGGCUGCCUCCUGCACGCCCCAACCGGGGGUGGAACCCACAACCUGUGUAUGUGCCCAGACCAGGAAUCCAACCGCCACCUUCUGUUGUACGGAUGAUGCUCCAACCAACUGAGCCACACAGGCCGGGGCUCAUAGAUUGAACUUUCUAGAAGACCUGGAAGUCCUUGAAUUUGGAUUAGAAUUCACACUUGGGACAUUGCUAAUAGGAAGGAAGUAACCACUUUGUGAGGCAGUGCUAAACGUCUCCACACAGUGGAUGUAUAAAAUGGUUGGUGCAUAUCUAGGUAUUCAAAGACUGCAUUUAAAUGAUCCUCAGCAAUAUCUGUGUGCCUGGCUCUGCCAAGUGCUUUGUCUGCAUUGCCUAAUUGUCUGUAGAUGAGACGCCAUAACUACCCAACCAAAAAUAGCCGAAGCAGGGCUCAAACCCAGACCUCUGGCUUCCACUGCCUUUAGAACUCUUCUGCUGCUUUUUUAACUAAAAGAAUUGGUGGGAAUGUAAAUUUAUGAAAUAAAAAAUAUUUAAUUCCCCCAGGCA